Molecule: long non-coding RNA, 273 nt
Filed under: Brassica rapa (field mustard)
Lineage: Eukaryota; Viridiplantae; Streptophyta; Magnoliopsida; Brassicales; Brassicaceae
Description: long non-coding RNA (BRAP_LNC001252)
Source: RNAcentral
CCAUCCCCAAAUGAAAAAACUUUUUGAAUUUUUUUUUUAUGUUAGAUCUUUUUUUUUUGAUAGAUUGAGGAUGGUAAUGACGGGUCCGGAUUCAAGAUAGAUAGAAGAAGAAGUGUUUAUGAUUUAGAAAUGGAAGAUGAGAAAGAUGAAUGAUUUAGAAGAUACCAAACGAGUGGCUUUGAUACACUUGAAGGACCCUAAGAUCGGCUCACUCGAAUGGAUCAGAUUUGGAUAUGAACUCCAGAUGGAGAACUGGAUGGAUAGAAGGGUCGC